UACGGGGGGGGCAAGCGUUGUUCGGAAUUACUGGGCGUAAAGGGUGCGUAGGCGGCGCGGUAAGUCGGGUGUGAAAUCUUGGAGCUUAACUCCGAAACUGCAUUCGAUACUGCCGUGCUUGAGGACUGGAGAGGAGACUGGAAUUUACGGUGUAGCGGUGAAAUGCGUAGAUAUCGUAAGGAAGACCAGUGGCGAAGGCGGGUCUCUGGACAGUUCCUGACGCUGAUGUGCGAAAGCGUGGGGAGCAAACAGG
RNAcentral lists this ribosomal RNA (253 nucleotides) under uncultured bacterium. RNAcentral describes it as "partial 16S ribosomal RNA". It matches the Rfam family "Bacterial small subunit ribosomal RNA", at positions 524 to 776 of the family's 1533-position model. The record is from RNAcentral.